UGCGUAGGGUGCAAGCGUUGUCCGGAAUUAUUGGGCGUAAAGAGCUCGUAGGCGGUUCGUCGCGUCGGCUGUGAAAACCCGGAGCUCAACUCCGGGCCUGCAGUCGAUACGGGCGGACUUGAGUGUUGCAGGGGAGACUGGAAUUCCUGGUGUAGCGGUGAAAUGCGCAGAUAUCAGGAGGAACACCGGUGGCGAAGGCGGGUCUCUGGGCAACUACUGACGCUGAGGAGCGAAAGCGUGGGGAGCGAACAGG
Molecule: ribosomal RNA, 253 nt
Filed under: uncultured bacterium
Lineage: Bacteria
Description: partial 16S ribosomal RNA
Rfam family: Bacterial small subunit ribosomal RNA
Source: RNAcentral